This 466-nucleotide ribosomal RNA is filed under the name uncultured bacterium. RNAcentral describes it as "partial 16S ribosomal RNA". It matches the Rfam family "Bacterial small subunit ribosomal RNA", at positions 28 to 506 of the family's 1533-position model. The record is from RNAcentral.
GAUGAACGCUGGCGGCGUGCUUAACACAUGCAAGUCGAACGGAAAGGCCCAAGCUUGCUUGGGUACUCGAGUGGCGAACGGGUGAGUAACACGUGGGUGAUCUGCCCUGCACUUCGGGAUAAGCCUGGGAAACUGGGUCUAAUACCGGAUAGGACCACAUUUUGGAUGGUGUGGUGGAAAGUUUUUCGGUGUGGGAUGAGCUCGCGGCCUAUCAGCUUGUUGGUGGGGUAAUGGCCUACCAAGGCGUCGACGGGUAGCCGGCCUGAGAGGGUGUACGGCCACAUUGGGACUGAGAUACGGCCCAGACUCCUACGGGAGGCAGCAGUGGGGAAUAUUGCACAAUGGGCGCAAGCCUGAUGCAGCGACGCCGCGUGGGGGAUGACGGCCUUCGGUUUGUAAACUCCUUUCGCUAGGGACGAAGCGUUUUUGUGACGGUACCUGGAGAAGAAGCACCGGCUAACUACGU